This 572-nucleotide ribosomal RNA is filed under the name Candida albicans. RNAcentral describes it as "partial large subunit ribosomal RNA". It matches the Rfam family "Eukaryotic large subunit ribosomal RNA", at positions 62 to 648 of the family's 3401-position model. The record is from RNAcentral. Lineage: Eukaryota; Fungi; Ascomycota; Pichiomycetes; Serinales; Debaryomycetaceae.
AAACCAACAGGGAUUGCCUCAGUAGCGGCGAGUGAAGCGGCAAAAGCUCAAAUUUGAAAUCUGGCGUCUUUGGCGUCCGAGUUGUAAUUUGAAGAAGGUAUCUUUGGGCCCGGCUCUUGUCUAUGUUCCUUGGAACAGGACGUCACAGAGGGUGAGAAUCCCGUGCGAUGAGAUGACCCGGGUCUGUGUAAAGUUCCUUCGACGAGUCGAGUUGUUUGGGAAUGCAGCUCUAAGUGGGUGGUAAAUUCCAUCUAAAGCUAAAUAUUGGCGAGAGACCGAUAGCGAACAAGUACAGUGAUGGAAAGAUGAAAAGAACUUUGAAAAGAGAGUGAAAAAGUACGUGAAAUUGUUGAAAGGGAAGGGCUUGAGAUCAGACUUGGUAUUUUGCAUGUUGCUCUCUCGGGGGCGGCCGCUGCGGUUUACCGGGCCAGCAUCGGUUUGGAGCGGCAGGAUAAUGGCGGAGGAAUGUGGCACGGCUUCUGCUGUGUGUUAUAGCCUCUGACGAUACUGCCAGCCUAGACCGAGGACUGCGGUUUUUAACCUAGGAUGUUGGCAUAAUGAUCUUAAGUCGC